Molecule: microRNA precursor, 94 nt
Filed under: Cajanus cajan (pigeon pea)
Lineage: Eukaryota; Viridiplantae; Streptophyta; Magnoliopsida; Fabales; Fabaceae
Description: miRNA gene-KK1_050580
Source: RNAcentral
AAAAUAACAUUAAUCAUUCAAUUUUAUCAUGAAUAACCAAGAUUUAAAAAAACAAAUGUCAUGUGAUGUUUUUAAGUGACCAUCUUGAUUUUUC